GACGAACGCUGGCGGCGUGCCUAAUACAUGCAAGUCGAACGGUUUAGUUCCAAGAGGCUUGCCUUUUGGAACUAGACAGUGGCGGACGGGUGAGUAACACGUAGGCAACCUACCUGUCAAACCGGGAUAACCUCGGGAAACCGAAGCUAAACCCGGAUAAGCUCCUUUUUCGCAUGAAGGGGGAGUGAAAAGGUGCGACCUGAUGACAGAUGGGCCUGCGGCGCAUUAGCUAGUAGGUAGGGUAACGGCCUACCUAGGCGAUGAUGCGUAGCCGACCUGAGAGGGCGUACGACCACACUGGGACUGAGAUACGGCCCAGACUCCUACGGGAGGCAGCAGUAGGGAAUCUUCGGCAAUGGGCGAAAGCCUGACCGAGCAACGCCGCGUGAGUGAGGAAGGCCGUCGGGUUGUAAAACUCUGUUGUUUGGGAAGAAGGGAAAGGGUAGGACCCUUAGGUGACGGUACCAAACGAGAAAGCCCCGGCUAACUACGUG
RNAcentral lists this ribosomal RNA (494 nucleotides) under uncultured bacterium. Its description in RNAcentral is "partial 16S ribosomal RNA". It matches the Rfam family "Bacterial small subunit ribosomal RNA", at positions 28 to 507 of the family's 1533-position model. The record is from RNAcentral.